ACUCCUACGGGAGGCAGCAGUGGGGAAUAUUGCACAAUGGGCGCAAGCCUGAUGCAGCCAUGCCGCGUGUAUGAAGAAGGCCUUCGGGUUGUAAAGUACUUUCAGCAGUGAGGAAGGUGGGUAUGUUAAUAGCAUACUCAUUUGACGUUAGCUGCAGAAGAAGCACCGGCUAACUCCGUGCCAGCAGCCGCGGUAAUACGGAGGGUGCGAGCGUUAAUCGGAAUUACUGGGCGUAAAGCGUACGCAGGCGGUUUGUUAAGCGAGAUGUGAAAGCCCCGGGCUCAACCUGGGAACUGCAUUUCGAACUGGCAAACUAGAGUGUGAUAGAGGGUGGUAGAAUUUCAGGUGUAGCGGUGAAAUGCGUAGAGAUCUGAAGGAAUACCGAUGGCGAAGGCAGCCACCUGGGUCAACACUGACGCUCAUGUACGAAAGCGUGGGGAGCAAACGGGAUUAGAUACCCUGGUAGGAUAGCGU
This 474-nucleotide ribosomal RNA is filed under the name uncultured bacterium. RNAcentral's name for it is "bacterial SSU rRNA". It matches the Rfam family "Bacterial small subunit ribosomal RNA", at positions 335 to 800 of the family's 1533-position model. The record is from RNAcentral.